This 1231-nucleotide long non-coding RNA is filed under the name Salmo salar (Atlantic salmon). RNAcentral describes it as "lncRNA (ENSSSAG00000085664.1, ENSSSAG00000091620.1)". Lineage: Eukaryota; Metazoa; Chordata; Actinopteri; Salmoniformes; Salmonidae. The record is from RNAcentral.
AGAUGCACAUGGGCCACAUACUAAAGUGAAAAAGCUGUUGUGAAAAAUGUUUAUGUGGCAAGUGACAAUGACUUACUUAUCCAUAACUUGGAAAAAUGUUUUUCUUUGUCUUUAUUAUUGUGGCAUCAAUAUAAUCCACAAUAGUAUACACAGAAUGUACAAACCAUUAGGAACACCUUCCAAAUAUAAUGUUGCACCCCCUUUUGCCCUCAGAACAGCCUAAAUUCUUUGAGGCAUGGACUCAACAAGGUGUUGAAAGCAUUCCAUAGGGACGCUGGCCCAUGUUGACUCCAAUGCUUCUCCCAGUUGUGUCAAGUUGGCUGGAUGUUGUUUGGGUGGUGGACCAUUCUUGAUAAAUACGGGAAACUGUUGAGCAUGAAAAACCCAGUAGCGUUGUAGUUCUUGAUACACUCAAACCGGUGCACUCGGAGAGCGCUGAGAGUCUGGAAGCAUGUUCAGGGAGUGAGUGUUUUAAUAAAUAAAAGAAACAAUGAACACAAACAACGUACUGACAUGAAAACAGAAUCAAUAACGCCUGAGGAAGGAACCAGGAGGAGUGACAGAUACAGGGAAGAUAUUCAAGGAGGUGAUGGAGUCCAGGUGAGUGUCAUAAGGCGCAGGUGCGCUUGACGAUGGCGACAGGUGUGCGGGAUAAUUAGCAGCCUGAUGACCUAGAGGUCAGAGAGGGAGUAUAAUCAGCAGCCUGAUGACCUAGAGGUCAGAGAGGGAGUAUAAUCAGCAGCCUGAUGACCUAGAGGUCAGAGGGAGUAUAAUCAGCAGCCUGAUGACCUAGAGGAAGGAGAGGGAGGAUAAUCAGCAGCCUGAUGACCUAGAGGAAGGAGAGGGAGUAUAAUCAGCAGCCUGAUGACCUAGAGGAAGGAGAGGGAGUAUAAUCAGCAGCCUGAUGACCUAGAGGUCAGAGAGGGAGGAUAAUCAGCAGCCUGAUGACCUAGAGGUCAGAGAGGGAGUAUAAUAAGCAGCCUGAUGACCUAGAGGUCGGAGAGGGAGUAGAAUCAGCAGCCUGAUGACCUAGAGGUCAGAGAGGGAGUAUAAUCAGCAGCCUGAUGACCUAGAGGCAGGAGAGGGAGUAUAAUCAGCAGCCUGAUGACCUAGAGGAAGGAGAGGGAGUAUAAUCAGCAGCCUGAUGACCUAGAGGAAGGAGAGGGAGUAUAAUCAGCAGCCUGAUGACCUAGAGGAAGGAGAGGGAGUAUAAUCAGCAGCCUGAUGACCU